This 248-nucleotide ribosomal RNA is filed under the name uncultured bacterium. RNAcentral's name for it is "partial 16S ribosomal RNA". It matches the Rfam family "Bacterial small subunit ribosomal RNA", at positions 336 to 581 of the family's 1533-position model. The record is from RNAcentral.
UUCCUACGGGGGGCAGCAGUGAGGAAUAUUGGUCAAUGGGCGGGAGCCUGAACCAGCCAAGUCGCGUGAAGGAAGAAGGUACUUAGUAUUGUAAACUUCUUUUGUCGGGGAACAAAGGCGGAGACGCGUCUCCGGAUGAGUGUACCCGAAGAAAAAGCAUCGGCUAACUACGUGCCAGCAGCCGCGGUAAUACGUAGGUGGCAAGCUUUGUCCAGAUUUAGUGGGCGUAAAGCGAGUGCAGGCGGGUC